Molecule: long non-coding RNA, 4236 nt
Organism: Cervus elaphus (red deer)
Lineage: Eukaryota; Metazoa; Chordata; Mammalia; Artiodactyla; Cervidae
Exons: 2
Source: RefSeq, a predicted model, not a curated record
GACAAUGCAGAUAGUGGAGUGCAGUUUAUUACGCCGGCGGGCCCAAGGCAGAGUCUCCUCUUAGCCAAGGGCCAGCUAUUAUUUUUGAAUUGUCUAGUUCUCUCUUCACUUUUGACAAUUUUACUUCAUGUAUUUGGGAGGUUAUUAGGACAUUUAUGUUUAUAACUGUUAUAUAUUCCUGGUAUAUUGACUCAUUUAUUAUUUUAAGAUUCUGACUCCAUUAAAUUAUUUUGUCUUAAGUCUAUUUGUCUUUUUUCUUAUAGUCAUGACAGUUCUCUUUUGGUUAUUGUUUGCAUAGAGUAUCUUUUUCUAUCCUCUUACUUUCAACCUAUUUGUGAUCUUGAAUCUGAAGUGUUUCCCUUGUAGCCAACAGAUAGUUGACUCAUUAAAACAAUCCAUUUUGCCUUUUAAAUAGAGUGUUUGAUCUUUUUACAUAUAAUGUAAUUAUUUAUAAGGUAGGUCUUAUGUCUCCCAUCUUGCCAUUUGUUUUCUAUAUAUCUUCUCUUUUGUGCCUCAACUUCCCCAUUAUUUAUUUUUUUGUGUUAAAUGGACAUUUUGUAGUGUACCAUUUUAAUUCCCUUGUCAUUUCUCUUCCUAUAUAUUAUUUUCUUAUUGGUUGUCUUUGAAAUUAUAAUUAACAUAUUAACUUAUAACAAUUUAAGUUGGGGUUAACACCAACUUAAUUUCAGUAUUAUACAAAACUUUGCCCCUACAUAUAUAUUAAAUUCCAUCCUCUCUCCUUUGUGUUGUUUAUUGUUGUACAAAUUACACUGUUAUACACUGUGUGCCCGUAAACUAAGAUUAUAAUGAUUGUUUUAUGUGUUGUCUUUUAAAUCAGAUGGUAGAAAAUUACAAAUAAAAAAUACCUUUAUGUGUUCACCUCUGUCCUUACCUUUAUUGGUGUUCUUUACUUUUCAUCUGAGCUUGAGUUACUGUCUAGCGUUCUUUUAAUUCGGUCCGAAAAAAAAAAAACAACCCUUAGCAUAUCUUGUAGGGUUGGUUCACUAAUGAUGAAUUAUCUCGGUUUUUGUUUGUGAAUAUCUUCAUUUUUCUUUCAUACUUGAACACAUUUAUAAUGGGUAUUUUGAGGUCCUUUCUGUGAAAUUUGAUAUCUGGUUGUUUCCAGAGACAGCUUUUGUUGUUUUUUAUUCCCAAGGUGUAUGGGUUACAUUUUCCUGUCUCUUGCAUGCCUCAUAAUUUUUUGUUGGAAACUGGACAUUUGAGAUGAUAUAGUGUAGGACUCUGGGUACUCGUCUCCCUUCUUCCCCAACCAAGAUCUGUUAUUUUUGUGUGCCUGUUUGUUUUUUAGUGACUGGAUGAUUUUAGCAAUAUUUAUUUUCUCCAUCCUAUAAAGUAUGAAGUCUCUGAUGUUGUUCCUCAGGGAGUGAAACCAAGCAAGACCCUGUGGGCCUCCCGGGUAUAGAAGCAUUUCUGUGUCCCCAUUCCUUGCUUGUAGGGAACAAACCCCACCCUCCAUGACCUUCCCUGUGUCCCAAAGAGCAGAUUCAAACAGUUGCUAAUCAGGGAAGGGAGGAGAUUCAGAGACAAAGAAAGCACAGCCAAGAAACAACAGUGCAGUCUUGGGGCAGGGUCCUGUUUCUACCUCCAGAUACACACAGCAAUAUCCGUAAGCUCUUUAUAGAACUAAAACGCCCAACAAAUGCAAGAUGUCAGCAGUUCUUCAUUCUAGAGAAGACCAUCUGAAGUCAGAUGAAAGGAACCAGAGAAGCUCAUCAAGAGAUUAGCUGAGAGCAGAUGAAAGGAAUGCAGGCCCCGCACACACCCUGAUCCUUAUCAGCAGCCCCACUCUUGAACUAUUGCUAUGAAACUCCUCACCAAAUCCCCCCAGGUUGGGACAGUUUUCAAGGGCAGGAGCCUGCUGUGUCUCCCUUUGCCUGGAAAAGCAGUAAAGCUCUUCUUUUCUAAUUCACCCCAAACUCCGUCUCCAAGAUUUGAUUUGGCAUCAGUGCAUAGAGGCUGAGUUUUCGGCAUCAGAAGACCCAGCUUGGAUACUUCCACACUCACCUUGGGAUGAUGGUGGUAUUGGUCGUGCUGUUUCUUUCCCUGACCACACUCAGUUGUUAAACCCCACUAAUUGCAAGCUUAUUGCUCUAUUGUUUCUAAUAAUGCUCUAGGGCAUAAAUUGUCCUACAAACUAAUCCAAUCAAAGUGUGGCUCCUUUGGAAGAAUAGUUUCUGAGGUAUGUUUGAUAUUCUGACUGGAAGAGGAUUCCUCCCAGCAGUCCUACUCUUUGAGUCUCUCAUAAACUAGCUAUCCUACAGUUUAGGUUGUGUUUUCUUAAAAAUCCAUGAAUCUCUUUCUCAUUGUCUUUCACCAAAACCUUCACUAUUCUUGAUAGUGCUCUUAGAUUUGAAGUUUUCCAUGCCCUACUGAAAAUGAAAUCAGUUCCUUUGGGGGGAGAUUAGGAACUACCUAUUUUACAGUCUGCUUCUCACCCAGCCGAAAUCACUGAGCCAGGGCUCCAGAGCUGCAGGCAUGGACAAUGACAAGCUUCUCUCUGAAUCAUACCUCUUCUCUAGGAGCUGAGUGAUCACUGGAAUGUGCUGGCAACAGCCUGUAGCCGCUUUGGCUUGUCUCUCCUGGCAUGAAGCCUUCACAUAGGAUGGUGCAAGGCAGGCUCAAAAUGGCAAGGCCAUCUCUUGGUUAUUGUUCCCAAGAAAUGGUUUUCAACCACUAGAUUGCUUUCUGCACAUGGGUUUCUUUUUUAUUCCCUGGUACAAGACAAUUCUGGUGGCUUCAGGAGAAAAGCUUGACUGCGUGACAGGUGGGUGUUCUGUGAACAGUUCCUGUUUGCCUGAUGGACCCGGAGGCAGUGUGUGGGCCCACCUGGGAGCACCCUACAAGGAGCACAUAGAGGGCGAGACUGAGGCUGGGGGGGUGUUGUCCCCCGCUACUUCGAAGAGAACAGGGUUUGCAGCAGCAUCAGCAGUAUCUCAGCAGGGCAGCCAGGGAGCUGGAGCCCAGGGGAAGCUUAACGGAGCAGACACACACGGGCUGUGGGCUGUAGACUGUAGCACAGCAGAGUCUAAGAGAGCCAUCGAAGCCCCUGUCACUCCGUCCGGGGAUCGACACUGUGUGCGGCACUUGGGAACUUAUUAAGAAGCACAGCCCUCAUUCCCGACCCGCGGAUCCAAACCGAGGUGUGGACGAGAUCCUGACGCGACUCCUGUGCACAUUACAGUUUAGGAGCCCUGCUGCUCUAAUCGGACCACAGCACAGACACCGCUUCCUCCAGGAAGUCUUCCUGGUACUCCCUUCACCACCCCGGCACUCUGUCACCUGGAUCUCAUCUGUGUCCUCACUGGCCUUCUUGCUGCAGGUCUGCAUGUCCCUUCUUCAGAGGCGAGUGCUAGCCCAGAUCAUUCUGUGCUCACCUUGCACACGACCUGACUCAGAGCAUAUUCCAAUCAGAAGGCCCACUACUGGGCCAAUGAACCAAUGAAUGGGCAGGUGAUCAAUGAGACAGAAAUAACAGCCUGAAAUUCAUGGAAGGCUAGGUGUUUAUUUUUGCUGCUUCUCAGACAAGCUCCUCAAGGUAAAAACAAAACACACAGUUUCAAUAGCAUAGAUUUUAAACGUUCAACCUCAUACCAUGGCAUUUCAGGUUUCCAGAGCACUUUGGUUCAGGCACUUUUGUACCCAGAGGCACAGAGAAUUUCCCAGGCUGGAAGGGAGUGACUUACUCUCAUGGGGGUGCGGUUGUCAGCUGCCUGAUGAGGUACGGAAGAACAGCAGAUGACACCAGGUCAAGGCCAAAUGCACAGCCCACCCUGCCUUUCAUGAGCUGAUUGUCCGGUUGGGGUGUGGUCAGGCCCUCUGCUGCACCUGCCCCACCCUGAGGAGCCCCUGCAGCGGAAGGUGGGCAGGGAAGGGGAGGGAGCAUGUUAGACUUGGCUCUGUGUCAGCGUCUUUGGUGUAAGGAAACACCCCAGGCCCAGGGAGGGCCGGAGAAAAAGGGCAGCCAAUACUGAGUGGGGCUGACAAUCCUUGGUGAGUCCCAGCUGCCCGUGUUCUCCCUGCUUCCUAUCAGCAGGAAGUUGAUGGGCAUUUUUGUCAAGCAAAUGCUGAAAUCUGUGCUUCGCCCACUGCCUUUCCAGCGAGCUUCUCUGAGGCCAAGGCUGCCGCGCCAUCAGGGCCCAUCUGGGAGGCAAGCUCAUGCCGCCCGGCUCUUGAGCAGCAGACGGAAGACAUCCACAGGAAGCAGGCAGUUUCGUC